CUGAAAUUUCAGAAUUAACAAUAUUAUAUUGUUGUUGUUUGUAAAUUAAUAUCAAACUAUUUAUUGACUACCAGUGUUUCCUUCACCUUCAAAAUAACCAUUUAUUACCUUUUAUGUAGAAAGUAUAAGACUAACAGUGUAGACUAGUUUGUUAAAAACUUUAUUAACACUUUAUUUUCACGGUAGUUUUAUUUUUUUCUGAGAAAAUUUUUUUUUAGUGUUUUUUCCCCGGUUUCAAUUUGAAAGCGUAGAAGCGUUUUCUAUCCUCGUUAAAUUAUUUAACUGGUUUCUAUACUGUAUGUUUACAAAAAAAAUGACACACACUCCAAUCAACGUACCAAAAUCUUUUGAAUCAAACAAACGUGCAGGCAUUUGCACAAGCUUUAUGUUACUAGCAUUUUCAACUGCUACUUGGACAUUCUUUACUACGCCUAGGCGUACAGAAUGGUAUGACAUUCUUUUGGACUACUCCCAUCAUAAACGACAUCAAUGCUGUUUUUUCAAAUCUAAAAUAAAUCCAUUAUACAGCCUACCUUUUUUAAAGAAAUUUGUAAAGUAACGUGAAUAUGAAUGACUUUUAAAAUAAAAAUCUUUAUUUUACUAUAAAUAAACAAAAAAGAAUGUUUAAUUUUUUUUGUUUUAAUUAAUUUUCUGAUGUACCUUUGACGUGAACGUACAACCAAGUUUAGAUGAACAA
Molecule: long non-coding RNA, 697 nt
Organism: Hylaeus volcanicus
Lineage: Eukaryota; Metazoa; Arthropoda; Insecta; Hymenoptera; Colletidae
Exons: 4
Source: RefSeq, a predicted model, not a curated record